This 1473-nucleotide ribosomal RNA is filed under the name Triticum aestivum (bread wheat). RNAcentral's name for it is "partial small subunit ribosomal RNA". Lineage: Eukaryota; Viridiplantae; Streptophyta; Magnoliopsida; Poales; Poaceae. The record is from RNAcentral.
AUGGCUAAAAAGGGCUCGGAUAAGGGGGGGUUCUUCACGGAGUACGGCGAGGCGACCCGAUACCAGGUCGGCGAAGUGGUCGGCAAAGGCAGCUACGGCGUCGUGGCGUCUGCCGUCGAUACCCACACCGGCGAGAGCGUCGCCAUCAAAAAGAUCGACGACGUCUUCGAGCAUGUCGCCGACGCCACCCGCAUUCUCCGCGAGAUCAAGCUGCUCCGCCUUCUGCGCCAUCCAGACAUCGUCCAGAUCAAGCACAUCAUGCUCCCGCCGUCGCGCCGCGAGUUCCGUGACAUCUACAUAAUCUUCGAGCUCAUGGAGUCCGACCUCCACCAGGUCAUCAAGGCCAACGACGACCUCAGCCCGGAGCACCAUCAGUUCUUUUUCUACCAGCUGCUUCGUGGGAUGAAGUACAUACACGCUGCCAAUGUCUUCCACCGGGACCUCAAGCCCAAGAACAUUCUAGCCAAUGCCGAUUGCAAGCUCAAGAUUUGCGACUUCGGCCUUGCUCGGGUUUCCUUCAAUGACACCCCGUCCGCGAUAUUCUGGACGGAUUAUGUAGCAACAAGGUGGUAUCGUGCUCCAGAAUUAUGUGGCUCCUUCUUUUCAAAGUAUACUCCUGCGAUUGAUAUUUGGAGCAUAGGAUGUAUAUUUGCAGAAAUGCUUACAGGGAGGCCGCUCUUUCCUGGCAAAAAUGUGGUACAUCAAUUGGAUCUCAUGACUGAUCUACUCGGCACUCCUUCGGCAGAAUCUAUUUCUAGGAUUCGAAACGAAAAAGCUCGGCGAUAUUUGGGAAACAUGAAAAAAAAGCAUCCAAUACCUUUUUCUCAGAAGUUUCCCGGUGUGGACCCCAUGGCACUCCAUUUGCUUGAGCGUCUUCUUGCUUUUGAUCCCGCAGAUCGGCCAACAGCUGCAGAGGCCUUGGCAGACCCAUACUUUACUGGAUUGGCAAAUUCUGAACUCGAACCCACAACGCAACCCAUCUCGAGACUUGAGUUUGAGUUUGAGAGAAGGAAGCUGGGCAGAGAGGACGUACGUGAAUUAAUUUACAGGGAGAUUUUAGAGUACCAUCCUCAGAUGUUGCAUGAGUAUCUUCGUGGUGGAGAUCAGGCAAACUUUCUUUACCCAAGUGGGGUGGAUCGUUUCAAGAGGCAAUUUGUUCAUCUCGAAGAAAUCGGUGCUAAGGGUGAAAAGACUAGCCCGCAGCUGCGGCAGCAUGCUUCCUUACCAAGGGAAAGAGUUAUCGGCAGCAGUGAUGAGCCCGAAAAGCCAAAUGCAGAUUACUGUAUAAAAUUGCAUGUAGGUGAGGUACCAGGUUACACAUCGGUGACGGAUGGCCUUAACAAGCCACUGUUGAAUACUCGAAACUUCUUGAAGAGCGAAAGCAUCGGUGCCUCCAAGUGCAUCGUCGUCAAAGAAAAGCGAGAAAAAGAUGAGGAAUCUAUGUCUGAGUAUAUGCAUGAAGCAUCUGAUUAG